RNA transcript from Pelmatolapia mariae (spotted tilapia), 1204 nucleotides. It is a transcript of the gene named LYR motif containing 9, with no coding region annotated. Lineage: Eukaryota; Metazoa; Chordata; Actinopteri; Cichliformes; Cichlidae. The transcript has 5 exons. The record is from RefSeq and is a predicted model, not a curated record.
UUAUAGUCGGCGCUUAUGAAUGCAGUGGUCAUAGAAGUUUGGUAAGAGCACUCUGAGGAGAGUUCUGUGAUGUUUCGUUCACGCUGACAGCUACAGUUCACAGCUACAGAAGGGAUGCCACCUUUAGCUGGAGCCGAGUUGGUCCACACUCCAUUGCAGCUGUAUCGAUACCUGCUCAGGUGCUGCAGGCAGUUACCGUCCACAGCAAUGCAACAACACUAUCGACAUGCCAUAAGACAGGGUUACAACAGCCACUCAGAUGAAGACGACCCUGAGAGGAUACAGAUGAUCAUCCAGAGAGCGAUUGCAGAUGCUGACUGGAUUCUCGAUAAAUAUACCAAGAAGAAAUGAGAGCGUGUCCACGGCGGUGCAUUUUGCAGGGCUGUCCUGGAGUCACACUGGUAAAGGUUCCUCAGGCUGCGUAUGUAAUGAUGUAGAAGCAGAACUGAAGGGGACGACAUACGACCUACAAUGGUUCUAGAUUAUCUUCCAUGCUGAAGAAGAAGAAAGAGAACAUGGAAGAUGGCAGCAAGUACAGCUGCUACCAUAUCGCUGCCCGUACUUGUUAAUAGUAAAAGUCCGGUAUGGAAGUACUUUACAUUCUUGUCCUGAAAUACACUUUACUACUUUGUUUGAGACAGCUAGCAUCAAAUCAGCUGUGUUCCUUACUAGAGCUGGGCAGUCAAAAAGGAAUCAAAACUGACACUGGGAAUCUCUAAUCCACGUAAUCUUUCCCGUGUCGGUUAUUUCAGUUUUUUAAAAUUCUGUGUUGUCACGUGACUCUGUGCCUUCUGCAGCAUCAUGGAGAAAAACAAACAAAUCAACACAUCGAGCUGUGUGCACAACUUCAAAUCUCACGUCUGUUGUUUGGACACGUUUGACUUUAGUAAAGACGACUUCAAACAUAAGGGAGAAAAACAUUUCAUCAUCCAACAACAAUACUACAAAUCUGUUGCAACGCUUGGAGGACAAUCGUGUCACCAAUUAAAAAUAUCCCACCUUUAACAGUUCGCAUAUUUACAGUACGACCUGACUGCACGGGGUUAUGGUGUGUUGUGUGUCGAAAUUUGAAGUGAAAAAUGAAAAAGGCUGGAACGUGACAAAACGUGGGACAAGUGAAGAGCUGUUAAUACGGUCUUGUUGCACUGUGUGUGUAUGUAUAUAAAAUAAUUAUUCAGUAGUUGCAAUAAAGAUAAAAUGUUCA